CUUUCUCAAAGAUUUACCCCGGCCAAGACUAAUCAGACGGUGAAAGAAAUUCUAAGUUUAGGCUGAUGGGAAAAUUCCUACUCAGGCCUGAAAAAUUAUUGAUUCUCCCUUUCGUCAGACAGGUGAUGUGGAAAUUGCCUGAGGAUACUAGUCUCCAUGAGAGAUUGGGGAUGGCCAUGAUCUUGUGGACCAAGCUACCAAAACCCUAGGAGCUGGAGUUCAUGUUGUGAUUUACCAGAUGCCACAUGGUCUAAGCACCAAGGAAAGAAACGGAGCUGUCUCUUUAUUCAUUGGUGUCAUCAGAGAACAUCCUUCUCUCCAGUAGUUGGGUGGGGAAAAAACUGACCUCACUAUCAUUCUGGGUCUUCUUCUCUUGUACAAAGAAUUGAGUACAUGGAGAUGUGGACCAUCUCUACACAGGAAAAGGCCUCCAUGGGUGAAGAUCAGCACCUCUUCUGAAACUUAGAGAAUUCUCUGGGUCUUUGAGAAGAUAAGUGACUCAUCCAGGGUCCUACAGCUGGUAUAUAUCAGACGCAGAACUUUAAUCUAGGUCUUCUGACUUCAAGGAUAACUCUCUAUCCACU
This is a long non-coding RNA of Vombatus ursinus (common wombat), 584 nucleotides long. RefSeq lists it as uncharacterized. NCBI's taxonomy places the organism in Eukaryota, Metazoa, Chordata, Mammalia, Diprotodontia, Vombatidae. The transcript is spliced from 3 exons. The record is from RefSeq and is a predicted model, not a curated record.